This 2902-nucleotide ribosomal RNA is filed under the name Escherichia coli O25:NM. RNAcentral's name for it is "bacterial LSU rRNA". It matches the Rfam family "Bacterial large subunit ribosomal RNA". Lineage: Bacteria; Pseudomonadati; Pseudomonadota; Gammaproteobacteria; Enterobacterales; Enterobacteriaceae. The record is from RNAcentral.
UUAAGCGACUAAGCGUACACGGUGGAUGCCCUGGCAGUCAGAGGCGAUGAAGGACGUGCUAAUCUGCGAUAAGCGUCGGUAAGGUGAUAUGAACCGUUAUAACCGGCGAUUUCCGAAUGGGGAAACCCAGUGUGAUUCGUCACACUAUCAUUAACUGAAUCCAUAGGUUAAUGAGGCGAACCGGGGGAACUGAAACAUCUAAGUACCCCGAGGAAAAGAAAUCAACCGAGAUUCCCCCAGUAGCGGCGAGCGAACGGGGAGGAGCCCAGAGCCUGAAUCAGUGUGUGUGUUAGUGGAAGCGUCUGGAAAGGCGCGCGAUACAGGGUGACAGCCCCGUACACAAAAAUGCACAUAUUGUGAGCUCGAUGAGUAGGGCGGGACACGUGGUAUCCUGUCUGAAUAUGGGGGGACCAUCCUCCAAGGCUAAAUACUCCUGACUGACCGAUAGUGAACCAGUACCGUGAGGGAAAGGCGAAAAGAACCCCGGCGAGGGGAGUGAAAAAGAACCUGAAACCGUGUACGUACAAGCAGUGGGAGCACGCUUAGGCGUGUGACUGCGUACCUUUUGUAUAAUGGGUCAGCGACUUAUAUUCUGUAGCAAGGUUAACCGAAUAGGGGAGCCGAAGGGAAACCGAGUCUUAACUGGGCGUUAAGUUGCAGGGUAUAGACCCGAAACCCGGUGAUCUAGCCAUGGGCAGGUUGAAGGUUGGGUAACACUAACUGGAGGACCGAACCGACUAAUGUUGAAAAAUUAGCGGAUGACUUGUGGCUGGGGGUGAAAGGCCAAUCAAACCGGGAGAUAGCUGGUUCUCCCCGAAAGCUAUUUAGGUAGCGCCUCGUGAAUUCAUCUCCGGGGGUAGAGCACUGUUUCGGCAAGGGGGUCAUCCCGACUUACCAACCCGAUGCAAACUGCGAAUACCGGAGAAUGUUAUCACGGGAGACACACGGCGGGUGCUAACGUCCGUCGUGAAGAGGGAAACAACCCAGACCGCCAGCUAAGGUCCCAAAGUCAUGGUUAAGUGGGAAACGAUGUGGGAAGGCCCAGACAGCCAGGAUGUUGGCUUAGAAGCAGCCAUCAUUUAAAGAAAGCGUAAUAGCUCACUGGUCGAGUCGGCCUGCGCGGAAGAUGUAACGGGGCUAAACCAUGCACCGAAGCUGCGGCAGCGACGCUGAUGCGUUGUUGGGUAGGGGAGCGUUCUGUAAGCCUGCGAAGGUGUGCUGUGAGGCAUGCUGGAGGUAUCAGAAGUGCGAAUGCUGACAUAAGUAACGAUAAAGCGGGUGAAAAGCCCGCUCGCCGGAAGACCAAGGGUUCCUGUCCAACGUUAAUCGGGGCAGGGUGAGUCGACCCCUAAGGCGAGGCCGAAAGGCGUAGUCGAUGGGAAACAGGUUAAUAUUCCUGUACUUGGUGUUACUGCGAAGGGGGGACGGAGAAGGCUAUGUUGGCCGGGCGACGGUUGUCCCGGUUUAAGCGUGUAGGCUGGUUUUCCAGGCAAAUCCGGAAAAUCAAGGCUGAGGCGUGAUGACGAGGCACUACGGUGCUGAAGCAACAAAUGCCCUGCUUCCAGGAAAAGCCUCUAAGCAUCAGGUAACAUCAAAUCGUACCCCAAACCGACACAGGUGGUCAGGUAGAGAAUACCAAGGCGCUUGAGAGAACUCGGGUGAAGGAACUAGGCAAAAUGGUGCCGUAACUUCGGGAGAAGGCACGCUGAUAUGUAGGUGAGGUCCCUCGCGGAUGGAGCUGAAAUCAGUCGAAGAUACCAGCUGGCUGCAACUGUUUAUUAAAAACACAGCACUGUGCAAACACGAAAGUGGACGUAUACGGUGUGACGCCUGCCCGGUGCCGGAAGGUUAAUUGAUGGGGUUAGCGCAAGCGAAGCUCUUGAUCGAAGCCCCGGUAAACGGCGGCCGUAACUAUAACGGUCCUAAGGUAGCGAAAUUCCUUGUCGGGUAAGUUCCGACCUGCACGAAUGGCGUAAUGAUGGCCAGGCUGUCUCCACCCGAGACUCAGUGAAAUUGAACUCGCUGUGAAGAUGCAGUGUACCCGCGGCAAGACGGAAAGACCCCGUGAACCUUUACUAUAGCUUGACACUGAACAUUGAGCCUUGAUGUGUAGGAUAGGUGGGAGGCUUGGAAGUGUGGACGCCAGUCUGCAUGGAGCCGACCUUGAAAUACCACCCUUUAAUGUUUGAUGUUCUAACGUUGACCCGUAAUCCGGGUUGCGGACAGUGUCUGGUGGGUAGUUUGACUGGGGCGGUCUCCUCCUAAAGAGUAACGGAGGAGCACGAAGGUUGGCUAAUCCUGGUCGGACAUCAGGAGGUUAGUGCAAUGGCAUAAGCCAGCUUGACUGCGAGCGUGACGGCGCGAGCAGGUGCGAAAGCAGGUCAUAGUGAUCCGGUGGUUCUGAAUGGAAGGGCCAUCGCUCAACGGAUAAAAGGUACUCCGGGGAUAACAGGCUGAUACCGCCCAAGAGUUCAUAUCGACGGCGGUGUUUGGCACCUCGAUGUCGGCUCAUCACAUCCUGGGGCUGAAGUAGGUCCCAAGGGUAUGGCUGUUCGCCAUUUAAAGUGGUACGCGAGCUGGGUUUAGAACGUCGUGAGACAGUUCGGUCCCUAUCUGCCGUGGGCGCUGGAGAACUGAGGGGGGCUGCUCCUAGUACGAGAGGACCGGAGUGGACGCAUCACUGGUGUUCGGGUUGUCAUGCCAAUGGCACUGCCCGGUAGCUAAAUGCGGAAGAGAUAAGUGCUGAAAGCAUCUAAGCACGAAACUUGCCCCGAGAUGAGUUCUCCCUGACCCUUUAAGGGUCCUGAAGGAACGUUGAAGACGACGACGUUGAUAGGCCGGGUGUGUAAGCGCAGCGAUGCGUUGAGCUAACCGGUACUAAUGAACCGUGAGGCUUAACCUU